GGGGAAUAUUGCACAAUGGGCGAAAGCCUGAUGCAGCAACGCCGCGUGAGUGAUGAAGGUCUUCGGAUUGUAAAGCUCUGUCUUUUGGGACGAUAAUGACGGUACCAAAGGAGGAAGCCACGGCUAACUACGUGCCAGCAGCCGCGGUAAUACGUAGGUGGCGAGCGUUGUCCGGAUUUACUGGGCGUAAAGGGCGCGUAGGCGGAUGUUUAAGUGAGAUGUGAAAUACCCGGGCUUAACUUGGGUGCUGCAUUUCAAACUGGAUAUCUAGAGUGCAGGAGAGGAGAAUGGAAUUCCUAGUGUAGCGGUGAAAUGCGUAGAGAUUAGGAAGAACGCCAGUGGCGAAGGCGAUUCUCUGGACUGUAACUGACGCUGAGGCACGAAAGCGUGGGUAGCAAACAGGAUUAGAUACCCUGGUAGUCCACGCCGUAAACGAUGAGUACUAGGUGUAGGAGGUAUCGACCCCUUCUGUGCCGCAGUAAACACAUUAAGUACUCCGCCUGGGAAGUACGAUCGCAAGAUUAAAACUCUAAAGUGAAUUGACGGGGUC
This 550-nucleotide ribosomal RNA is filed under the name uncultured bacterium. RNAcentral's name for it is "partial 16S ribosomal RNA". It matches the Rfam family "Bacterial small subunit ribosomal RNA", at positions 356 to 920 of the family's 1533-position model. The record is from RNAcentral.